GACGAACGCUGGCGGCGUGCCUAAUACAUGCAAGUCGAGCGAAGUUUUUCUGGUGCUUGCACUAGAAAAACUUAGCGGCGAACGGGUGAGUAACACGUAAAGAACCUGCCUCAUAGACUGGGACCACUAUUGGAAACGAUAGCUAAUACCGGAUAACAGUAUUUCUCGCAUGAGAGAUAUUUAAAAGUUGGUUAUGCUAACACUAUGAGAUGGCUUUGCGGUGCAUUAGCUAGUUGGUGGGGUAAAGGCCCACCAAGGCAACGAUGCAUAGCCGACCUGAGAGGGUGAUCGGCCACACUGGGACUGAGACACGGCCCAGACUCCUACGGGAGGCAGCAGUAGGGAAUCUUCCGCAAUGGGCGAAAGCCUGACGGAGCAACGCCGCGUGAGUGAAGAAGGAUUUCGGUUCGUAAAGCUCUGUUGUUAGGGAAGAAUGGAUAUGUAGUAACUAUACAUGUAAGAGACGGUACCUAACCAGAAAGCCACGGCUAACUACGUG
RNAcentral lists this ribosomal RNA (499 nucleotides) under uncultured bacterium. RNAcentral's name for it is "partial 16S ribosomal RNA". It matches the Rfam family "Bacterial small subunit ribosomal RNA", at positions 28 to 507 of the family's 1533-position model. The record is from RNAcentral.